AGCCAAUUAGCUUAAUUAAAAGCAUUUACUUUGAAAGUAAAAGAUAGAAUAAAUUUAUUGGCUU
This 64-nucleotide transfer RNA is filed under the name Leofa pulchella. RNAcentral describes it as "tRNA-Ser". It matches the Rfam family "tRNA". Rfam says of the family: Transfer RNA (tRNA) molecules are approximately 80 nucleotides in length. Their secondary structure includes four short double-helical elements and three loops (D, anti-codon, and T loops). Lineage: Eukaryota; Metazoa; Arthropoda; Insecta; Hemiptera; Cicadellidae. The record is from RNAcentral.